Melitaea cinxia (Glanville fritillary) is the source of this 407-nucleotide long non-coding RNA. RefSeq lists it as uncharacterized. The transcript has 4 exons. The record is from RefSeq and is a predicted model, not a curated record. Lineage: Eukaryota; Metazoa; Arthropoda; Insecta; Lepidoptera; Nymphalidae.
GUUCCAUUUCAAACAAUGGGACAGUCGAAAGCCAAAUGCUAUAUUCAAAAUUCUGUUUAUCUAUUGUAAUGUACUGGACAUUUAUUUUUGUGUGUUUUCAAAUUAUUUUCCGAAACCUACUUGUGAGUGUAUAGGCGGCCAUUGCAGCACAUAUUGUCUCGGAGUUGGCUGUGAAGCGGGUUGUCGCAGCUUUUCAUGUCGAUAUGUGGUCAACGGAAAGAACGACCUCGGCGGAGGAACGUGGAGCGAACACUACCCACAAUAUGAUACUGCUAACAUUAGAAGACCGAACUAAUAUAUUUCAUGGAUAACAAAAUAAUGUAUUUUUAAUUUAGUUGUGUUUUAUUGCGUCAUUAUGAAAUUUUUAUCUUUCUAAUAUAAUAUGGUAAUACUGAAAUUCCACAACA